GAGGAAGUAAAAGUCGUAACAAGGUUUCCGUAGGUGAACCUGCGGAAGGAUCAUUAUUGAAUAAACUUGGUUGGGUUGUUGCUGGCUUUUCGGAGCAUGUGCACGCCUAGCGCCAUUUUUACCACCUGUGCACUUAUUGUAGAUUUGAAAACACCUUCUCGAGGCAACUCGGUUUGAGGACUGCUGUGCGCAAGCUAAGCUUUCCUUGCGUUUUCAAGUCUAUGUUUUUAUAUACCCCAUAAGAAUGUUUUAGAAUGUCAUUAAUGGGCUUUACUGCCUCUAAAUUAAUACAACUUUCAACAACGGAUCUCUUGGUUCUCGCAUCGAUGAAGAACGCAGCGAAAUGCGAUAAGUAAUGUGAAUUGCAGAAUUCAGUGAAUCAUCGAAUCUUUGAACGCACCUUGCGCUCCUUGGUAUUCCGAGGAGCAUGCCUGUUUGAGUGUCAUUAAAUUCUCAACCUUUUCAGCUUUUGCGAGUUGGAUUGGCUUGGAUGUGGAGGUUUGCAGGCUUCUCAGAAGUCAGCUCCUCUUAAAUACAUUAGCGGAACCUUUGUGGACCAGCUUUGGUGUGAUAAUUAUCUACGCCAUGGCCGUGAAGCAGCUUUACAUGGGGUUCAGCUUCUAAUCGUCCAUUGACUUGGACAAUUUCUGACAUUUUGACCUCAAAUCAGG
Molecule: ribosomal RNA, 671 nt
Filed under: Clitocybula sp. PDD 89839
Lineage: Eukaryota; Fungi; Basidiomycota; Agaricomycetes; Agaricales; Porotheleaceae
Description: eukaryotic LSU rRNA
Rfam family: 5.8S ribosomal RNA (bases 292-445)
Source: RNAcentral